UUAAACGCGUUGAAGGGGAUCAGUAAGAAGGGUGGAACUUUCCGAUACCAGAGAGUCGGUGUAGCUGGGAGCCGAUAUCGGUCCCUCUUCUGAAAUACAACCUCGGAGCUGAGGGGUCUCUUCGGAACUCCCUCCGGCCGUCCACCGUUAACAGGAUGUUGUAUGCCCAUAUGGGGUAUGCAACCCUAAGUGGAACCGUGAGGUUCAAAAAGGGUGGUACCGCGAGACUCCUCGUCCCUUAU
Molecule: non-coding RNA, 242 nt
Filed under: Marininema halotolerans
Lineage: Bacteria; Bacillati; Bacillota; Bacilli; Caryophanales; Thermoactinomycetaceae
Description: T-box sequence
Rfam family: T-box leader
About the family: Uncharged tRNA acts as the effector for transcription antitermination of genes in the T-box leader family.
Source: RNAcentral